RNAcentral lists this unclassified non-coding RNA (328 nucleotides) under soil metagenome. RNAcentral's name for it is "partial contains 5.8S ribosomal RNA, internal transcribed spacer 2, and large subunit ribosomal RNA". The stretch from base 1 to 120 matches the Rfam family "5.8S ribosomal RNA", at positions 35 to 154 of the family's 154-position model. The record is from RNAcentral.
GAUGAAGAACGCAGCGAAAUGCGAUAAGUAAUGUGAAUUGCAGAAUUCAGUGAAUCAUCGAAUCUUUGAACGCACAUUGCGCCCUUUGGUAUUCCGAAGGGCAUGCCUGUUCGAGCGUCAUUAUAACCACUCAAGCUCUCGCUUGGUAUUGGGGUUCGCGGUCUCGCGGCCCCUAAAAUCAGUGGCGGUGCCUGUCGGCUCUACGCGUAGUAAUACUCCUCGCGAUUGAGUCCGGUGGGUGACUUGCCAGCAACCCCCAAAUUUUUCAGGUUGACCUCGGAUCAGGUAGGGAUACCCGCUGAACUUAAGCAUAUCAAUAAGCGGAGGA